GAUGAACGCUGACAGAAUGCUUAACACAUGCAAGUCUACUUGAACUUCGGUUUGGGUGGCGGACGGGUGAGUAACGCGUACAGAACUUGCCUCACAGAUAGGGACAACAUUUGGAAACGAAUGCUAAUACCUGAUAUUAUGAUUUUAGGGCAUCCUAGAAUUAUGAAAGCUAUAUGCACUGUGAGAGAGCUUUGCGUCCCAUUAGCUAGUUGGAGAGGUAACGGCUCACCAAGGCGAUGAUGGGUAGCCGGCCUGAGAGGGUGAUCGGCCACAAGGGGACUGAGACACGGCCCUUACGCCUACGGGAGGCAGCAGUGGGGAAUAUUGGACAAUGGACCAAGAGUCUGAUCCAGCAAUUCUGUGUGCACGAUGAAGUUUUUCGGAAUGUAAAGUGCUUUCAGUUGGGAAGAAAAAAAUGACGGUACCAACAGAAGAAGUGACGGCUAAAUACGUG
Molecule: ribosomal RNA, 454 nt
Filed under: uncultured bacterium
Lineage: Bacteria
Description: partial 16S ribosomal RNA
Rfam family: Bacterial small subunit ribosomal RNA
Source: RNAcentral